GUUGUACUCCCUCCGUCCGGAAUUACUUGCCAUAAAAGUGGAUAAUAAUAGAUGUAUCUAAAAAUAAAAUACAUCUAGAUACAUCCAUUAUUAUCCAUUUUUCGGACAAGUAUUUUCGGACGGAGGGAGUAAUAU
Hordeum vulgare subsp. vulgare (domesticated barley) is the source of this 135-nucleotide non-coding RNA. The record is from Rfam. Lineage: Eukaryota; Viridiplantae; Streptophyta; Magnoliopsida; Poales; Poaceae.